AGCGGCAGGCCUAAUACAUGCAAGUCGAGGGGUAGAUUUAACUUCGGUUGAAUUGAGACCGGCGGACGGGUGCGUAACGCGUAUGCAACCUACCCAUUACAGGGGGAUAGCCCGGGGAAACUCGGAUUAAUACCCCAUAGUAUUAUUGAUUGGCAUCGAUUAAUAAUUAAAGAUUUAUUGGUAAUGGAUGGGCAUGCGUCUGAUUAGUUAGUUGGUGAGGUAACGGCUCACCAAGACGACGAUCAGUAGGGGGUCUGAGAGGAUGAUCCCCCACACUGGCACUGAGAUACGGGCCAGACUCCUACGGGAGGCAGCAGUAGGGAAUAUUGGUCAAUGGGCGAGAGCCUGAACCAGCCAUGCCGCGUGCAGGAUGACGGCCUUCUGGGUUGUAAACUGCUUUUGUCAGGGAAGAAAAAGACUAUGCGUAGUCAAUUGCCGGUACCUGAUGAAUAAGCACCGGCUAACUCCGUGCCAGCAGCCGCGGUAAUACGGAGGGUGCGAGCGUUGUCCCGGAUUUAUUGGGUUUAAAGGGUGCGUAGGCGGCCUUUAAGUCAGUGGUGAAAGCCCAUCGCUCAACGAUGGAAUUGCCAUUGAUACUGGAGGCCUUGAGUUCAGUUGAGGUAGGCGGAAUU
This 632-nucleotide ribosomal RNA is filed under the name uncultured Bacteroidota bacterium. RNAcentral describes it as "bacterial SSU rRNA". It matches the Rfam family "Bacterial small subunit ribosomal RNA", at positions 38 to 668 of the family's 1533-position model. Lineage: Bacteria; Pseudomonadati; Bacteroidota. The record is from RNAcentral.